This 324-nucleotide ribosomal RNA is filed under the name uncultured Geobacter sp. RNAcentral's name for it is "bacterial SSU rRNA". It matches the Rfam family "Bacterial small subunit ribosomal RNA", at positions 1055 to 1382 of the family's 1533-position model. Lineage: Bacteria; Pseudomonadati; Thermodesulfobacteriota; Desulfuromonadia; Geobacterales; Geobacteraceae. The record is from RNAcentral.
UCAGCUCGUGUCGUGAGAUGUUGGUUAGUCCGCAACGAGCGCAACCCCUAUACCUCAGUUGCCAUCAUUAAGUUGGGCACUCUGUGGAGACUGCCGGUGUCAAACCGGAGGAAGGUGGGGAUGACGUCAAGUCCUCAUGGCCCUUAUGACCAGGGCUACACACGUGCUACAAUGGCCGGUACAAAGAGUUGCGAUACAGCGAUGUGGAGCUAAUCUCAUAAAGCCGGUCUCAGUUCGGAUUGGAGUCUGCAACUCGACUCCAUGAAGUUGGAAUCGCUAGUAAUCGCGGAUCAGCACGCCGCGGUGAAUACGUUCCCGGGCCUU